UACAGAGGGGGCAAGCGUUGCUCGGAAUCAUUGGGCGUAAAGCGCACGUAGGCGGCUCGUUAAGUCGGGUGUGAAAGCCCUAGGCUCAACCUAGGAAGUGCACUCGAAACUGGCGAGCUUGAAUAUGGAAGAGGGUCGCGGAAUUCCCGGUGUAGAGGUGAAAUUCGUAGAUAUCGGGAGGAACACCAGUGGCGAAGGCGGCGACCUGGGCCAAUAUUGACGCUGAGGUGCGAAAGCGUGGGGAGCAAACAGG
RNAcentral lists this ribosomal RNA (253 nucleotides) under uncultured bacterium. RNAcentral describes it as "partial 16S ribosomal RNA". It matches the Rfam family "Bacterial small subunit ribosomal RNA", at positions 524 to 776 of the family's 1533-position model. The record is from RNAcentral.